AAUGUAUUUGACCUGUAUUUCCUCACCUCCAAGUUAGAUGAAUAUAUUCAUUUUCUAGGGCUGUCAUAAAAAAAUACCACCCACUGGGUGGCUUAAACAAUUGUGAGAAACCUAUUUUUUCACAAUUCUAGAGGCUAGAGUCACAUUCUGAGGCACUGAGGGUUAGGACUUGAACAUUUAAAUGUGGAAGAAGGGCACACAAUUGCAUCCAAAUUGUGGGUUCAUAACCAAGCACACUGUAUGUAUUUUACAUAAAUGAAUGACAGUAAAUGCCCAAGAAGUGCUCUCACACAGAUAUGGGUAAGGAUGCACCCCUGCCCUGGCAAUAUGGGCCCAGGGGACAUACAUCUGCCUCUGGGCACUUUAGUGACUAUAUAUGUACCAAGACGACCUAAAUGGGUCAAGAAACUUUGUCGAUCACAGAUUUCACCAAUUAAAGAUUAUAUAAACUACACUUGCAGCAAUUCUAACAUUUUCUCCCAAGUAAACCACUGUAAAAAGUAGCAAGUUGCCCUGAAAUUUUUAUCAAAUAAGAUAAAUCUUUUACACCAUUUAUACAAAUGUCAGUUUCAACAUUAUCUUUUUCACACUCCUUAUGCAUAAAGCAAUAAGGAAUGGAAAGUACAGAGAUUAAUUUAGGUAACAAUUACCAUAAUUCACAAUUGCAUUAGCACCUAUUAAGGUUCAUUGUUCUGUGGAAAUUUUAAUGAUACAUUCCUGAGUGAAUAAAAGCAGAAGAUGAUUGGAAAUAAAAUUGUUUCUAUGUAUGCUGACAGGACUGCUGAGUGUAAUUAUACAUUUCCGAGGCGACCUGUUUGGAGUUUACUCCAUAAUUUUAUGUAAAUGUUAAAUAACUUCAUGUGUUCUUCCUCCCGGGUUAAAUGCUAAUUUGUGUUAUUCCAACAAGGGGUGUGCUGCAGGGUUAUUAACGGACUUGAUCUGCCAAUGAAGCUGGCUUCUGAAAAAUAGCUCUACACACUUCAAAACAAUAGAGGUGUCUAUGGUUUUUUCUUCAUUUUACAUCUUAUUGGUGGGCUGCCAAACGUUUAGUUCUGAAAACAGCUCUUUAUUCUCAAAAUCUGCAGCAAAAACCCAAGAAGUGAGAAAUUAUUCUCUUAAAUAUAAUCAAGUUCAUUCAUAGUGUCGGUUUGCAUCAACUUCCUCAGUCCCAAAAGAAAACAGGUAAAGAGAAAACCUUAAAAGACUCCUAGGUAUAAUCAUAUAAUAUGUAGAUAUACAUGGCUCUCUAUGUGCAGAUUUCUCCCAAUUCCUAGAUAGAAACGAAAGCAGAGCCAGCACAUAGUAGGUGCCUAAGUAUGUGCUGACUGUUGGAAAACUCCCAAACUUUAUAAAUACUCAUGAAACAAAUGAGAUAAAGUCUGAUCAAGCACAGUAGACCUGUUUUUGCCUCAGCAGAAAUGCUUGCCCUUAUUGCCCCAAACUAACAGAAAAUCAGAAAUGACACAGAUGGAAAGGGGGAAAGAUAUAAAAAGCGGCACAUUCAUUUCAAAGAGAUGAAAAAUAAUAGCACUUUUUCCUCCAAUUUCAUUCUCAGAUCCCAAUGUGAAACAAUCAAAAUGUUCUGCUUUAACACUGUAAGAUACAUUGGAGAGGAGGUUGCAAAAUAUUCGAAUCAUUUGCUUUGGCCUCUGAGUGCCACCAGGGAGGAAUUGUGCGCUGUGAGUUUUGAAGGAUCCCGUGCCGUCAUCUGGUAAGCAAACACACACAGUGAUUUCUCUCAAAGACAGACAAGGCAGAAACUAGUUCUGGUCACCCAUACUGCCCAACUCCCAGGCUCGUAUCCUCUCUUCCACACACAGUCCAACCCCGGGGUGACCAGGCUGUAAUAUCAUCCUUGUUUUUCCAGGGAUCAGUGUUGUGAGGUAAAAAGAACAGCAGUUAGGGGUUCAGAGGAGUUAGUGUGAGUCUCAGCUCUCUUGUCUGAACUGUACCAGACCUUUAGCAAGGACACGGAAACGAUCAAAACAGAGUUUGUUAUUAUGAAAUAGCGGCAAGGAUCUGGUGAUCUGGAAUGGACUGAAAACACAGGGCAAAAAAAAAAAAAUCCUAUCUUUAUCUGCCGAGGCUCUCCUGGAAUUGGUUCAAAUUUUGGUCACAGAAGAAACUGGGAAUGGGAAUUUGUAAGAUGAGAUAUAAUUAAAAGGCUUAACAUUGAUUUGAAUUCUUAGAAACAAUUAUUAACAAAGCAUUACGGAACUGCUCUGAUAGCUAUCCAACAUUAUGUGUAUGUAUAUCUAUAUUGUCCAAAAUUGGCAUAACGUGUAUUAUGAUUUGCUUUAUUUGUUUGCACAAUUUUUAGUUCCACCAAACUCUGGAGACUGAUACACUAUGCUUCACAAUUACUCAGUCAUAUCAAUGAUUUCUCUUCCUCAUAUGUCAAUAUCUAAAGUGUCAUAGCAUCCAUCUCUCUAUCAGUACAAAUGUUUGUCAAGUCCCAUUCCUCAAACACAAUGUCAUCAUGAGCAUUGUCAUCAAAAUCACCAUCAAUAAACAUUAACUGAUUUUCCUCUACUAGGCAAAGGCUUUAUUUCUAAAGGAGAUUUUGUAUCUAUUUGCUGCAGACCAAAAAUGACAAUAAAGGUCUACAGUUGUGUGAACUCCAAAGAUUGUUGCCUGAAUGGCAUUUAGGUUCCCAACUUGUAUUUGACUUUCCUUUGUGAGAUCCUAUUUCUCCAAAAUCUCUUUGCCUCUCUCCAUUCCCAACGUGCUUAUGCCUCCUGUUCUACUAACGCAAAAACAUGUUUUAUAGAGAGUUUCCUCCAUCUCAAGUUUUGCCAACUUUAUCCCAGUUUCACAAACACAUAUACAGAGAUGUCACAUGUAGUGAUAACAUGGCCUAGAGUAAGAUAAAACAUAAGCCAAUAGUGGAUAAAUUUUAAAACAAGGCACUAUUUUGGUGAUUCAGAUAGCAGAUGUCAACUCAGAAUACAUAGUGACACAUAUCAGGAGGCAACUGCUGUUGAGAAUUUAGGAACUACAAAUAACUAUUGAAUCAUUUCCCAAACAACUCACCAUGCUAAAGAAAAAGUCAAAAAUAGAAGUACAUCCAGUACUUCAGUGUGCCUCCAAAGUUAGGGGCACUGAUUAUACUUAUUUUUACUCUUAAACACUCUUUUCCUAAUAUAAGCUAAUGUCUGUGUUUAUUGCCACUAGACCUAAAAGUGUUCCUUCCUGUCAAUAUCUCUCUCUUUACCCACUUCAUUUUCCAACAAAGUACUUAAAUUCUUAAAAACUUAAUAAAAAUGUAUUUUUAAUCAGUCUGUCUUUCCCAUUAGAACCAAGAUGAAUGAGUACAGGGAUAAUCUCUGCCUUGGUUAUAACUGUACUUCCUGGACAAGAAGAGGCUCUGGCAUGUAGCAUAUGCUUGAUAAUAUUUUUGAAAGAAUUAGCUGAAGGAUGCAUACUACAGAGUGA
Molecule: long non-coding RNA, 3435 nt
Filed under: Sus scrofa (pig)
Lineage: Eukaryota; Metazoa; Chordata; Mammalia; Artiodactyla; Suidae
Description: lncRNA (ENSSSCG00065053837.1)
Source: RNAcentral